ACCUGGGUGGCUCAGUUGGUUGAGCAUCUGACUUCGGCUCAGGUCAUGUUCUCCCAGUUUGUGGUUCGAGCCCCGGGUC
This 79-nucleotide transfer RNA is filed under the name Felis catus (domestic cat). It matches the Rfam family "tRNA". From Rfam's summary of the family: Transfer RNA (tRNA) molecules are approximately 80 nucleotides in length. Their secondary structure includes four short double-helical elements and three loops (D, anti-codon, and T loops). Further hydrogen bonds mediate the characteristic L-shaped molecular structure. tRNAs have two regions of fundamental functional importance: the anti-codon, which is responsible for specific mRNA codon recognition, and the 3' end, to which the tRNAs corresponding amino acid is attached (by aminoacyl-tRNA synthetases). tRNAs cope with the degeneracy of the genetic code in two manners: having more than one tRNA (with a specific anti-codon) for a particular amino acid; and 'wobble' base-pairing, i.e. permitting non-standard base-pairing at the 3rd anti-codon position. RNAcentral also lists the same sequence under 2 other names. Lineage: Eukaryota; Metazoa; Chordata; Mammalia; Carnivora; Felidae. The record is from Rfam by way of RNAcentral.